GACGAACCGUGCGAACGUUGUUCGGAAUCACUGGGCUUAAAGGGCGCGUAGGCGGACCAUCAAGUCAGGAGUGAAAUCCCCCGGCUCAACCGGGGAAGUGCUUUUGAUACUGGUGGUCUCGAGUGGGGUAGGGGCGUGCGGAACUUCCGGUGGAGCGGUGAAAUGCGUAGAGAUCGGAAGGAACGCCGGUGGCGAAAGCGGCACGCUGGACCCUUUCUGACGCUGAGGCGCGAAAGCCAGGGGAGCAAACGGG
RNAcentral lists this ribosomal RNA (253 nucleotides) under uncultured bacterium. RNAcentral's name for it is "partial 16S ribosomal RNA". It matches the Rfam family "Bacterial small subunit ribosomal RNA", at positions 524 to 776 of the family's 1533-position model. The record is from RNAcentral.